UACACCCACUCCCUGAUGUUUUCCUUGGGAGCCAGAAGUGUGUGUGCAGCGUUUUUUGGGGCAGUGGUGAGCAGAAGUGGAGUGUGUGCUGUGAGAGAUUUUCUGCUGCACACCUGUUGCUGUAGGACACAAAAUAACACGACGUGGACACGCAGUUUUCUCAAGUUCACUUUUAACACCCAGCAACAGAGGGUGAGAGCUUCUGGUGCUCAGAAGGCACAGAUUCCAUCUUAUCUGGUUUGCCAGUCUGAGUAUAUUCCAAGGUGAUGAAUAUCAAGGGACUGGUAACUGCUGUGUAAAUGAGUCAUCUGAAGAAUUAAAAAUCAGGUGCUUGGAACAACUUUGCUGCUGAGCUUCAGGGAUGAAGAGGAGAAACUUUCUGCCUGAUGCAGUUAAAUCCAGAGUCUCCAGGGAUUACAAAAUCUGUACAAAAACAUGAAAGGGAGAGGAAAUAUAUAAUUUUUAAGGAAAUAAAAUCAGACAGACCACCUUUACCCUUUUCCACUCAAACAAGAGAGCAUACAUGUAAGCCCAGUUGGUUUUUUUACACAGAAUAUUAUAGGUGGAAGUGAUUUUUCAGCCAAGUAAAAAUCUUGUUUAGGAGACAGAAAUCAAUGUUAUGUACAACCUGUGGACCUUUUUUUUUAUAGAUUUUGCUGUGUAGAAGGGCAGCUGGUACUGGGAAGGGCACUGCAGCACCCAAAGGAAUCCAUCAGACUUUCUCAAAAGUUGCAAAGUCAAGGCAAUCAGGCUGAUUACAAAGAAAGGAAUUUUAUCAUCUAUUUUUAUUCUGUUCACCUAUGACAGCAGACAUGAAAACAGUCUCUGACCUGUAAAGUUUCUACCUAGUGUGAAUGAAAUCCUUCAGCUGAGACACAAGAGCCCUUUUUGAAGAAGAAAUGUUACAGUCUCAUCAGCCUGGUGGGAAUUUGGCAUCCUACUCCCCUGAACAAUAUAAAAAAUCUCAACCUGAGACCCACUCAGAUAUAAAUCUAACAGCACCCAAAUAUUUCCCAUCGUGGAAAGCCCUGGAGAUGCCAGCAUGGACAACAGCAGAUGAAGCAGAAGGACCAUCACCAUAACCAGUCAAAGCCAUGAGCACAAAAGUUAAUUAAUACAGUGCUUUAAUCAAGAGAAGCUUUACACCACAAAGGGCAUGCAAAGAAAGGCUGUGAGCUUUCCUUCUGCAGAGGAAAAGCAGCUCUGGAAUUAAACAGAUAGGCUCAGGCUCCUUGCACAGUAAAUCUCUCCUAAAUCCUUUCACCCCUCUCCAGGGGUGGGAGUGGGAGGUGCAGGACAGGGGAGGGUUAGCCAAGACUUCCACUGCUCCUGAGGGAACUGGGAUUGCUACAGCUGCUAAAACGAGGAGCAGGAUUUAUGCUGCAUGUUUGGAAUAGCACUCGUGUUAAGCAAUAUAUACUUCUUAAAUUAUGUGCUUUUUCUACUCUAGUGCAUAUGGCAUGGCUAUACCAUUUCUGGAGUAAGGAAAAAAAACAAAACACACUUUAGCUAUUUUAGAUAAAUUCACGCAAGAUUUCUGCACCACGUCCCACUGAAUUUACAGUGUUAGUUGUGUCUGAGGUUUCUGGCUGAUCUCUUGUUUACCCUUUUGAUAACAAUGCCAGGCACUUCCUAAAGCUGCACUGCAUCCAGUAAGGAGUUGAUGGGAAUUUGCUGAUUUACACCAGCUGUGACUUCAUGCAGGCAUUCAGUGGAAAUAUUAUGUGUUUCUGGUGGUGGAAAAAAUAAUCUCAGUGCUGAAUAUGUCUUAUUAUUCAGUAGCCUGUCUGUAUAUAGAAAAACAUGAUGUCCUGUUGCUCUUUACACUUUGAAGAAACUACAGGUGACUUAAGGGGCAAAAAGUUCCUCAGUCCCUCCAAGAAAAGCCAUGGGAGUCAGCUAGUAUGUUCUUCCUUAAAAUGUUUUAAAAAUAAUGCAUUAAGCGAUACAGAAUCCAUAGGUGAAUUUAAGUUAUGAGGUUAUAGCUGUCUUUAUGUAAUUCAGGUUAUUUAUACCAAGUUUAAUAUAGCCACGGUUUCAAUCACUGUUAUUUUACCAUAUUUAUUUAAAAAUUAAAGAAUGUCUUAGGUUGCCUGCCAGCUGUAUUACAGCCACAUCAGUUAUCGUGCAAGAGAUCAGUCAUUCAAAUUCAGUGCAUGACAAAGUGUAGGAAAAAAAAAAUAUUCCCAUAAAUGCAAACACUAUGAGGAAAGUGCUUUAUAUGUUGUGAGCCACAGAGUCAGCUGGCUGUUUUAACUGAGACACUCACUGCUCUCCCCAAGUUUAUAAAAAGCAUCAUGAAGGAUGUGUUUCAUGUUCUAAACUACCCCGAGAACACAAUUUAAACAUUCCAAAAUUCACAUGUUCAUUUACGCAUCCUGAGAGAAUAUAAUGCUAACGUUCAGAUUUUGGAAGUCUGUAAAAUCCCAUACUGUCUCGAUGGGAACAAUUAUGGUGAAAGCAAAGCAACAGCAAAAAAACUGACUCCCAAAGUCAUGGGUGACAGCAGAAGUCCCAGAGCUCCGCCAUGCACCAGAGCAGGAGGUGCCACCUCGCUCACCCAACUCCUUCAAGAAGGGCUCCUGGGUAAAAACUUGGUUUCUGUGACAGGUCAGCUUGGUUUUAGUGCCAUGCUGCUGGGGAGUUGCCUUUCAGGCUGAUCAGGGAGACAGGAAUAAACAGUGAGGGAGAAUAAGGAGACACAAUCCUAUUAGUCAGGCGGGAGGUGAUGUCAAAGGCAAGUUUCAAUUACAGCGGGAUUAUUAACGGUGAUGGUGUCAACCUGAGACAAACACACUCAGCCCAGCAGCAGACAUGCAAAUGCUCUCAGUCUGCCUCUAGACGUGCUAAUUUCAGCUGAGGAGUCACUGAAAGGACGUGCUGGGCACAGCAUGCCCAGAGGAACCAGUCAGAGCCCUCAGUGGACUGGGGCACUCACAGUGCAGAUCGUGGGGAAGCCAACACGGUUUCCCUGGCUCAGCAGUGCUGAGGGCAUCACCAAGGGGUGAGCCAGGAGCUGACCAGCCCUUUGUAGCCUGGGAAUGGUCACUGUGCAUAAAUCAGGGCAGGAGUCACAAGGCUGUGGUCUGUCUAAAAUUGCACAGAAUCACAGGAUGGUUUGGGUUGGGAAGGACCUAAAAUCCCACCCAGUCCAUCCCUGUCGUGGCAGAGACACCUUCCACUGUCCUGCUCCCAGCCCCGUCCAACCUGGCCCUGGGCACUGCCAGGGAUCCAGGGGCAGCCCCAGCAGCUCUGGGCACCCUGUGCCAGGGCCUCCCACCCUAACAGGGAGGAAUUUCAGUCACCAAACAUGAGUUUGGACCAAAGGAAUACAGAAAGCUGAAAGCACUGCCUGCUAUACACUGAUAUAAGCCAUGGGUGUCUAUUUCUCUCAUUGCUCCUUUGUGGUUAUUUCUCCUCCAUCUGACAAAAUUUUAUCAACUGACAAAAUCACCAUUAACCAAACACCUAAAUACUCUAAGAAGACUUCAUGGUUCUCCUUUUUGGCUGAUUUCUAAGAAUUGCAUUUCUGCUGCACAGGACUUGAAUACAGAAGUCUGUAAUUCUUGGUGUUUUCCAUAAAUAAUUAUCACCAAAAAAACCCAACAACAAAACCAACAAAAACAGCAACCAAAAACAAAUAAAACAAACAAAACCCCAAAAAACAGAGCAUUAGGGGCUCUUUGAGAAACACUGUAUAUUUGAAAAACACAAAUUUAUGCAGAGUAAUAAGGUUCCAUUUAUGUGUAAUGCAGAUAUUGUUGUACAAAAUUAUAUAUAAAACCAGCCCAAGGCCUAACAAACUUACAUAACCAGCUUUGAUAAAUUGGUGUUUAAAAGGACACUUGUGAGAUUGAGACAACAUAAAAAUAAAAAAAAAAAAAGGUUGAGAUCAUUCAACUGAAAAAUGUCAUUUAGAUCCUGUCUAAAAUGUAGGAACUUUAUGAGUCAGGAAGACAGAAAGGAAUCUACACCUACCUAGCAAAGCUCAGUUGAACAACAAUCUAAAAUCAGUGUAAUUAUUACAAUAAUUAAAAAUAAAAACCACACUUCUGACAGUUUAAUUUCUAUCCUUUGUGGAUCCUGUGUAGGGGGAUGUUAUUCUGCCAUUUUCAGUUCCAUCUCUCCCAUCAACACUGUGCAUUCAGCUGCCUGUCUUAAGAUUGCAGGAAAACCUAGAGAAUUCUCUUUUUAAGUAAUAUCUUUAAUUCAGUCAAUGUUAUAGGUUGGAGAGCUAGAAUUGAUAGCUGAUUCUGUCUUGUUUUGUCAAUAAAUGAUGCAGCUUUUGUUUCUGAAGGCAUAUUCUUUUUAAUAAAAAAAAAUAAUCUAAUAACACAGAGGUGUUCUAGAUUAUGUCAUCUAUUUGUAGGGAGUU
Molecule: long non-coding RNA, 4375 nt
Organism: Haemorhous mexicanus (house finch)
Lineage: Eukaryota; Metazoa; Chordata; Aves; Passeriformes; Fringillidae
Exons: 6
Source: RefSeq, a predicted model, not a curated record